GUGGGGAAUAUUGGACAAUGGGCGAAAGCCUGAUCCAGCCAUGCCGCGUGUGUGAAGAAGGUCUUCGGAUUGUAAAGCACUUUAAGUUGGGAGGAAGGGCAGUAAGUUAAUACCUUGCUGUUUUGACGUUACCGACAGAAUAAGCACCGGCUAACUUCGUGCCAGCAGCCGCGGUAAUACGAAGGGUGCAAGCGUUAAUCGGAAUUACUGGGCGUAAAGCGCGCGUAGGUGGUUUUGUAAGUUGGAGGUGAAAUCCCCGGGCUCAACCUGGGAACUGCCUCAAAAACUGCAUGACUAGAGUACGGUAGAGGGUAGUGGAAUUUCCUGUGUAGCGGUGAAAUGCGUAGAUAUAGGAAGGAACACCAGUGGCGAAGGCGACUACCUGGACUGAUACUGACACUGAGGUGCGAAAGCGUGGGGAGCAAACAGGAUUAGAUACCCGUGUAGUCC
Molecule: ribosomal RNA, 450 nt
Filed under: uncultured bacterium
Lineage: Bacteria
Description: bacterial SSU rRNA
Rfam family: Bacterial small subunit ribosomal RNA
Source: RNAcentral